RNAcentral lists this ribosomal RNA (451 nucleotides) under uncultured bacterium. RNAcentral describes it as "partial 16S ribosomal RNA". It matches the Rfam family "Bacterial small subunit ribosomal RNA", at positions 354 to 796 of the family's 1533-position model. The record is from RNAcentral.
GUGGGGAAUAUUGGACAAUGGGCGAAAGCCUGAUCCAGCCAUGCCGCGUGUGUGAAGAAGGCCUUUUGGUUGUAAAGCACUUUAAGCGAGGAGGAGGCUACUUAGAUUAAUACUCUAGGAUAGUGGACGUUACUCGCAGAAUAAGCACCGGCUAACUCUGUGCCAGCAGCCGCGGUAAUACAGAGGGUGCGAGCGUUAAUCGGAUUUACUGGGCGUAAAGCGUGCGUAGGCGGCUUUUUAAGUCGGAUGUGAAAUCCCUGAGCUUAACUUAGGAAUUGCAUUCGAUACUGGGAAGCUAGAGUAUGGGAGAGGAUGGUAGAAUUCCAGGUGUAGCGGUGAAAUGCGUAGAGAUCUGGAGGAAUACCGAUGGCGAAGGCAGCCAUCUGGCCUAAUACUGACGCUGAGGUACGAAAGCAUGGGGAGCAAACAGGAUUAGAAACCCCGGUAGUCC